Molecule: ribosomal RNA, 655 nt
Filed under: alpha proteobacterium IMCC10436
Lineage: Bacteria; Pseudomonadati; Pseudomonadota; Alphaproteobacteria
Description: bacterial SSU rRNA
Rfam family: Bacterial small subunit ribosomal RNA
Source: RNAcentral
ACGCCUAACACAUGCAAGUCGAACGAAGUAGCAAUACUUAGUGGCAGACGGGUGAGUAACAUGUGGGUAUCUACCCUUUGGCCUGGAAUAACACGAGGAAACUUGUGCUAAUACCGGAUAAGUCUUUACGGAGAAAGCUUUAUGCACCAUUGGAUGAGCCCGCACUUGAUUAGUUUGUUGGUAGGGUAAUGGCCUACCAAGACUAUGAUCAAUAGCUGAUUUGAGAGGAUGAUCAGCCACAUUGGGACUGAGACACGGCCCAAACUCCUACGGGAGGCAGCAGUGGGGAAUCUUGCACAAUGGAGGAAACUCUGAUGCAGCGAUGCCGCGUGAGUGAAGAAGGCCUUUGGGUUGUAAAGCUCUUUCGUCGGGGAAGAAAAUGACUGUACCCGAAUAAGAAGGUCCGGCUAACUUCGUGCCAGCAGCCGCGGUAAUACGAAGGGACCUAGCGUAGUUCGGAAUUACUGGGCUUAAAGAGUUCGUAGGUGGUUGAAAAAGUUGGUGGUGAAAUCCCAGAGCUUAACUCUGGAACUGCCAUCAAAACUUUUCAGCUAGAGUAUGAUAGAGGAAAGCAGAAUUUCUAGUGUAGAGGUGAAAUUCGUAGAUAUUAGAAAGAAUACCAAUUGCGAAGGCAGCUUUCUGGAUCAUUACUGAC